RNAcentral lists this long non-coding RNA (221 nucleotides) under Elaeis guineensis (African oil palm). RNAcentral describes it as "long non-coding RNA (EGUI_LNC055870)". Lineage: Eukaryota; Viridiplantae; Streptophyta; Magnoliopsida; Arecales; Arecaceae. The record is from RNAcentral.
UUUGUCAAACUUCAUCAAGCUCGAUUUUAGAGGCACUUAUUCUUUCACCAAGAAAUUUUUUUUCCAAAAAAUGUGCCUACUACUGACAAACACCUUUUGUUCAGUAGACAGAUAAAAAUAAUAUCCCCUCAUUUUCUUGGGGUACCCUAUGAAAUUACACCUAUCGGACUUAGGACUGAGCUUGUCAGUUUGUAAUCAUUUAACAUAAGCUGAACACCCCC